UUGAACGCUGGCGGUAUGCUUAACACAUGCAAGUCGAGCGGGGCUCCUUCGGGGGCUCAGCGGCGGACGGGUUAGUAACGCGUGGGAACGUGCCUUCUGCUCUGGAAUAGCCCUGGGAAACCGGGGGUAAUGCCGGAUGUGCCCUACGGGGGAAAGAUUUAUUGGCAGGAGAUCGGCCCGCGUCCGAUUAGGUAGUUGGUGGGGUAAAGGCCCACCAAGCCGACGAUCGGUAGCUGGUUUGAGAGGAUGAUCAGCAACACUGGGACUGAGACACGGCCCAGACUCCUACGGGAGGCAGCAGUGGGGAAUCUUAGACAAUGGGGGCAACCCUGAUCUAGCCAUGCCGCGUGGGUGAUGAAGGCCUUAGGGUCGUAAAGCCCUUUCGCUGGGGAAGAUAAUGACGGUACCCAGUAAAGAAACCCCGGCUAACUCCGU
RNAcentral lists this ribosomal RNA (435 nucleotides) under uncultured bacterium. RNAcentral describes it as "bacterial SSU rRNA". It matches the Rfam family "Bacterial small subunit ribosomal RNA", at positions 30 to 506 of the family's 1533-position model. The record is from RNAcentral.